AUCAAUAAGCGGAGGAAAAGAAACCAACAGGGAUUGCCCCAGUAACGGCGAGUGAAGCGGCAACAGCUCAGAUUUGAAAUCUGGCCCCCCGCGGGGCCCGAGUUGUGAUCUGCAGAGGAUGCCCUGGGCGCGGCGCCUUCCGAGUUCCCUGGAACGGGACGCCACAGAGGGUGAGAGCCCCGUCUGGUCGGACGCCAGGCCCGUGUAGGGCUCCUUCGACGAGUCGAGUAGUUUGGGAAUGCUGCUCAAAGUGGGAGGUAUAUGUCUUCUAAAGCUAAAUACCGGCCAGAGACCGAUAGCGCACAAGUAGAGUGAUCGAAAGAUGAAAAGCACUUUGGAAAGAGGGUUAAAGAGCACGUGAAAUUGCUGAAAGGGAAGCGCCCGUGACCAGACUUGCGCCUGGCAGCUCACCCUGGCUCUCGGGCCGGGGGCACUCUGCCAGGCACAGGCCAGCAUCGGCUCGGCGCGGGGGAGAAAGGCGGCGGGAACGUGGCUCCUCCGGGAGUGCUUAUAGCCCGCCGCGCCAUGCCCCGUGCUGGGCCGAGGCACGCGCACCGCAAGGAUGCUGGCGUAAUGGUCACCGGCGACCCGUCUUGAAACACGGACCAAGGAGUCAUCCUCGUAUGCGAGUGUUGGGGUGCCAAACCCCCACGCGCAGUGAAGGCGAACGCAGGUGAGAGCCGGGCAGCCCUCGGCGCAUCAUCGACCGAUCCUGAAGUUCUCGGAUGGAUUUGAGUAGGAGCAUACGGGGAUGGACCCGAAAGAAGGUGAACUAUGCCUGCGUAGGGUGAAGCCAGAGGAAACUCUGGUGGAGGCUCGCAGCGGUUCUGACGUGCGAAUCGAUCGUCAAACGUGGGCAUGGGGGCGAAAGACUAAUCGAACUUUCUAGUA
This 891-nucleotide ribosomal RNA is filed under the name Gibellula sp. RNAcentral describes it as "partial large subunit ribosomal RNA". It matches the Rfam family "Eukaryotic large subunit ribosomal RNA", at positions 42 to 949 of the family's 3401-position model. The record is from RNAcentral. Lineage: Eukaryota; Fungi; Ascomycota; Sordariomycetes; Hypocreales; Cordycipitaceae.